AUUGAACGCUGGCGGAAUGCUUUACACAUGCAAGUCGAGCGGCAGCGCGGGGCAACCUGGCGGCGAGCGGCGAACGGGUGAGUAACACAUCGGAACGUGCCCAGGAGUGGGGGAUAGCCCGGCGAAAGCCGGAUUAAUACCGCAUACGAACUGAGGUUGAAAGCGGGGGACCGAAAGGCCUCGCGCUCGUGGAGCGGCCGAUGGCAGAUUAGGUAGUUGGUGGGGGUAAAGGCCCACCAAGCCUGCGAUCUGUAGCUGGUCUGAGAGGACGACCAGCCACACUGGGACUGAGACACGGCCCAGACUCCUACGGGAGGCAGUAGUGGGGAAUUUUGGACAAUGGGCGCAAGCCUGAUCCAGCCAUUCCGCGUGCAGGACGAAGGCCUUCGGGUUGUAAACUGCUUUGUACGGAGCGAAAGGGUCCUGCCUAAUAACGUGGGGCGAUAUGACGGUACCGUAAGAAUAAGACACGGCUAACUAACGUGCCAGCAGCCGCGGUAA
This 501-nucleotide ribosomal RNA is filed under the name uncultured bacterium. RNAcentral describes it as "bacterial SSU rRNA". It matches the Rfam family "Bacterial small subunit ribosomal RNA", at positions 29 to 523 of the family's 1533-position model. The record is from RNAcentral.